RNAcentral lists this ribosomal RNA (724 nucleotides) under uncultured Enterobacter sp. RNAcentral's name for it is "bacterial SSU rRNA". It matches the Rfam family "Bacterial small subunit ribosomal RNA", at positions 29 to 742 of the family's 1533-position model. Lineage: Bacteria; Pseudomonadati; Pseudomonadota; Gammaproteobacteria; Enterobacterales; Enterobacteriaceae. The record is from RNAcentral.
UUGAACGCUGGCGGCAGGCCUAACACAUGCAAGUCGAGCGGCAGCGGAAAGUAGCUUGCUACUUUGCCGGCGAGCGGCGGACGGGUGAGUAAUGUCUGGGAAACUGCCUGAUGGAGGGGGAUAACUACUGGAAACGGUAGCUAAUACCGCAUAACGUCGCAAGACCAAAGAGGGGGACCUUCGGGCCUCUUGCCAUCAGAUGUGCCCAGAUGGGAUUAGCUAGUAGGUGGGGUAACGGCUCACCUAGGCGACGAUCCCUAGCUGGUCUGAGAGGAUGACCAGCCACACUGGAACUGAGACACGGUCCAGACUCCUACGGGAGGCAGCAGUGGGGAAUAUUGCACAAUGGGCGCAAGCCUGAUGCAGCCAUGCCGCGUGUAUGAAGAAGGCCUUCGGGUUGUAAAGUACUUUCAGCGGGGAGGAAGGUGUUGAGGUUAAUAACCUCAGCAAUUGACGUUACCCGCAGAAGAAGCACCGGCUAACUCCGUGCCAGCAGCCGCGGUAAUACGGAGGGUGCAAGCGUUAAUCGGAAUUACUGGGCGUAAAGCGCACGCAGGCGGUCUGUCAAGUCGGAUGUGAAAUCCCCGGGCUCAACCUGGGAACUGCAUUCGAAACUGGCAGGCUAGAGUCUUGUAGAGGGGGGUAGAAUUCCAGGUGUAGCGGUGAAAUGCGUAGAGAUCUGGAGGAAUACCGGUGGCGAAGGCGGCCCCCUGGACAAAGACUG